RNAcentral lists this ribosomal RNA (467 nucleotides) under uncultured bacterium. Its description in RNAcentral is "partial 16S ribosomal RNA". It matches the Rfam family "Bacterial small subunit ribosomal RNA", at positions 28 to 507 of the family's 1533-position model. The record is from RNAcentral.
GACGAACGCUGGCGGCGUGCUUAACACAUGCAAGUCGAACGGAAAGGCCUCUUUCGGGGGGUACUCGAGUGGCGAACGGGUGAGUAACACGUGAGUAACCUGCCCUUGACUUUGGGAUAACUUCAGGAAACUGGGGCUAAUACCGGAUAGGAGCUCCUGCUGCAUGGUGGGGGUUGGAAAGUUUCGGCGGUUGGGGAUGGACUCGCGGCUUAUCAGCUUGUUGGUGGGGUAGUGGCUUACCUAGGCUUUGACGGGUAGCCGGCCUGAGAGGGUGACCGGCCACAUUGGGACUGAGAUACGGCCCAGACUCCUACGGGAGGCAGCAGUGGGGAAUAUUGCACAAUGGGUGGAAGCCUGAUGCAGCAACGCCGUGUGCGGGAUGACGGCCUUCGGGUUGUAAACCGCUUUCGCUCAUGACGAAGCUUUGUGUGACGGUAGUGGGUAAAGAAGCACCGGCUAACUACGUG